CCUAACAAAUAAUAAUUUAGAAAUAUCACACCAUAUUAUUAAUAUGAUAGCACCAACAGAAAACAAAAGAACAAUAUAUGUCUCAUAAUUGUAGAUAAAAUAGAGUGGCUGCAUGUGAAUAGAUGCCAUAAAGUCUAAUUUUUGUUCCAUAGAGAGAUAAAACAUAAUGAAAUAGCAAAAGCAAAAGAGAAAUUGUGACAGUAAUCCAAUUUCUUGUUGAUUUAUGAAGUGGACGCGUCGUGAGUCAUUCCCCAGCUGCGAAUCCCAAAGAGCAACUCUCCUGAGGCAAUCAAGAAUUCCAUAGCCUGCUGUUGUGACAGCAACCUCACCACGCCCUUCAAUGUUCUCAUCCGAAGAUCAUCUGCUUUUUUUAUGAUGGGUAUCAGCUCUGUGAUCUUCUCGCUCAUAUCCAUCUCACGACUCAUCAUCUCGCUUGCACUCUCCUGCCACUCUGCUAGCUCCUCUGUGAUCUCAUUCUCCUCUUUCACCUUCAUCACAAAAAUUAAAAACAAAACAAGUCACGUGAACAUUUUACUAAAGCAUCAAAUUUCAUUUUACUCUGUCUGUCUUGUCUCUGCUUCUGUCUCAUUGCAGUAAACGACAAAUGUGCUGCUACUUUUCUUCUAACACAGAAUUUAAAUCUUUAAAACUACUCCAUAUUGUUAACAAUUCAUAUAAUUUCUUCAAUGAAAAAAAGAACCACACCAAUGAUAAUCUGGAAAACCCUGCAUGCAUGUUACUCUAAAUGGUUCUAUAGCAGAAAAUUUUAAACAAGAUUAAAGAGUGAGAAAGAAGAAGAUAAAAGAGAGAGAGAGUGUUAGAUACAGUUUCACACUGGAGUUCGCUCAUGAGACGAAACUGGGAGGAGCUGAGGUCGCCGAGGUCUCCGGUGCGGAUGCCAUAGAGGAUAUCAAUGAUGUGAGUCUCAAAGAGGAGGGCAGACUCGGUGUAGAUGAGGUGGAAGAUGGUGGUGGGGCGCCAGCCAGUGAUCCAGUGGAGGGAGCGCUCAAGGGUGGUGGUCCAUGGCGCCAGGAACACGCUGAGAGGAUCUCUCUCCACCUCCUCCCAUUUUUCUACAAAGUAUUCUUGGUGCUGUUUCAUGACCCUUUCCAUGGCUUCUUGAGUGUGUUCAUCCUUCAAAUCCUUCACCAUGACCUUCAACUGCACGAACCAAAAUCUGUGAAAGUUGGCGAAAGAAGUGACCAUGGCAAUACUUUUGGGUUUGUGAGAGUUUGGCUUUGGUAAUUAUUUAUGGCUGUUGUGGUUGUU
RNAcentral lists this long non-coding RNA (1269 nucleotides) under Vigna radiata. Its description in RNAcentral is "long non-coding RNA (VRAD_LNC013755)". The record is from RNAcentral. Lineage: Eukaryota; Viridiplantae; Streptophyta; Magnoliopsida; Fabales; Fabaceae.